CCUAAAAUACAGAGAUAUCUGAACUGUUUUUGGAAGGGAUUUGACUAUAAACCCGGAUUUGAUUUAGAUAAAAGAUUUUCAGAAUAUUUUUUUGGGGAUGAAUGGUUGAAUCGGGGGUAGAUGAGCAGAUCAAAUGUUGUCAGUGAAUGUAGUCGAUCCAAACAGUUUAAUUUUCCUUGUUAAGAAGUAUCUUGGAUGGAAUUUUCGAUUUCAGGGGAGAAGAAUAUUUUCACUUAUUUGAAAGAAGAUAUGGAUAAACAGAAAAACCCUAAUUCUAUCUCAAAAUAAGAGAAAUACAAUCUAAGAAAGCAUUUCGAUUUUGGUUAAUCUUCAAUUAUUUUUGGCGCCAUGUAAAUCAAAAGGAAAAAAAGCUGGGCGGGAUUCUUUCCCGCUUGAUCUUCCAUUUUCUCUUCUAUAAAUACAACCCCAAAGUUAUCAAGUUAUCACAAGAUACUGAUUGAAGGCUGAUUCCAUCCCUUGGUUAUCCUAAUUUCAAAGACUUUCAGAACUCUAACUUAAAGUGAAACAUGGUUAACAACAAUGAACAACCAGCUCUAGCAACAUCAUCUUCUGAGGGCACAACACCCACAUCAAAGAACUUACGGGGAGCGUAUGACACGAUGAAAGCGCUAAUGCGGCAACGCAGUGAAGCGGGAGCUACACCACCCACUGAGGCAAAAGUAUGUGCUUAGGUUUUAAAGAAAAAGCAAAGACGACGUCGUUCUGCGACCACUGUUUCUAACAAUGAAGGAAUUCAUGAGAUGCUACAAGCGCAGGCUGAUAGAAUUCAAGCUUAGGAUUAGCAAAUAUGUGCCCAGAAUGAGGUUAUCAAAAAGUUGAAAGAAGAUAGGGAAAAGGUCAUAAGAAACAUGUAGGAUAUGAUGAUACGUUCUCUCGGGCUAAACAACAUUACGGCUGAUGGAACUGAAAGUUGAAUGCAGUCACAUUAAUGUUUUAGUCUUGGUAUUUUUUUUCUUUUCCUAAACUGAUGUUAUUGGUAGAGUUUAUUUAUCAGGUUUUUUCUA
Long non-coding RNA from Papaver somniferum (opium poppy), 1025 nucleotides. RefSeq lists it as uncharacterized. Lineage: Eukaryota; Viridiplantae; Streptophyta; Magnoliopsida; Ranunculales; Papaveraceae. The transcript is spliced from 4 exons. The record is from RefSeq and is a predicted model, not a curated record.